Megalops cyprinoides (Indo-Pacific tarpon) is the source of this 183-nucleotide long non-coding RNA. RefSeq lists it as uncharacterized. The record is from RefSeq and is a predicted model, not a curated record. The transcript is spliced from 3 exons. NCBI's taxonomy places the organism in Eukaryota, Metazoa, Chordata, Actinopteri, Elopiformes, Megalopidae.
GGACCAUUUGCCUCAACUAUUCAAACAUUUGGUGAAAUUGUGACAUCAGAGUUACCAGACAUUUAUCUCCAAUGCUGGCUUAAGGCAGACAUGAACAACCUCAAGGAACUCACAGUAUGUUUUAUUAAGAGCCUCAUUGAUAAAGCACAGCCCCUGAUCACUGUAUUAGCUACAAAGGCCUUC